CAACAACACGUCUACCUUCAGGAACUGGGACCCUAAUCAGCCGGAUGGAUCGGGAGAAUGUGUGACUCAACUAUUACAGGAUCCCAGACUGUGGGACGAUCAGAUGUGCAGCAUUCCCAAACCUUUCUUCUGCUAUGAGAUCCCAGUGUUUAAACAGGUUCUGAGACUGGAGCUGGGAUCGGAUCAGAAUCUGAACGAUCCUGAUGUGAAGGCGACCAUCCUCCAGGAGAUCCAGCAGAGACUGAUCUCUCAGGGAAUGUCAGAGAGCGCAAGCCUGCAGUGGAGACAGCAGCCGGACGGAAACAUCUUUCAAGAG
Molecule: long non-coding RNA, 316 nt
Organism: Rhinichthys klamathensis goyatoka
Lineage: Eukaryota; Metazoa; Chordata; Actinopteri; Cypriniformes; Leuciscidae
Exons: 3
Source: RefSeq, a predicted model, not a curated record